CGCUGGUUGCACUCGUACUUGCAGUACUAGCCAAAGGUUUCUUGCGAGAAAGGUAGCCUUUUUUGAAAAGAACAUCCUGCCGAGGUGUCGUUAUUCUCAUGUAUUCCUCUGUAUAGAGAUGUUGUACACUUGCAUCAAUGACUGACGGAUUAACUGUACACAGCACCUCUCUAUCACACACCAAGCCUCACGUUCGUCUACUUAGACUUUUGAGUCAAGCCAAAGCCGGUAGGUUGUCUGUCAGCCCAGAACUAUUCUAGUACUAGAAUAGUACCAGAAUAGCAAGCUGGGAAAUGAGAAUAAGAGGAGCCAAGAAACUCGAAGGGGAGAGAACCAGAGGAGACUGUUAAAAAAAAGUGGAGAGGGCUCGGCACUGGCUUGUCGCAUAGCAGUGGACAAAAAGGUAUCGGACAUGGGUGCAGAAGAACCUUGGGAUACAUACUGAUCAGCGUUUUUGAGGACAAAUGAUGAGCAGAAUAGAACUUCUCUAAGGUCGUCUCUGAGCUUGAA
This is a long non-coding RNA of Neodiprion virginianus, 510 nucleotides long. RefSeq lists it as uncharacterized. The transcript is spliced from 3 exons. NCBI's taxonomy places the organism in Eukaryota, Metazoa, Arthropoda, Insecta, Hymenoptera, Diprionidae. The record is from RefSeq and is a predicted model, not a curated record.